ACGGGGUGCAGCAGGCGCGAAGCCUUUACAAUAUACGCAAGUAUGAUAAGGGAACCCAGAGUGCUAAUACAUAGUAUUAGCUUUUUUUAAGAGUAAACAUCUUAAAGAAUAAGUGGUGGGUAAGACUGGUGCCAGCCGCCGCGGUAACACCAGCGCCACGAGUGGCAGCCGCGUUUAUUCGGCCUAAAGCAUCCGUAGCCGGAUUAGCAAGUCUUUUGUGAAAUCGUUGGGCUUAACCUAACGGCGUGCAAAAGAUACUACUUUUCUAGAGAUUGGGAGGAGUUAGAGGUAUUCCUUGGGGAGCGGUAAAAUGCUAUAAUCCUUGGAAGACCACCUGUGGCGAAGGCGUCUAACUAGAACAAUUUUGACGGUGAGGGAUGAAAGCUGGGGGAGCGAUCCGGAUUAGAUACCCGAGUAGUCCCAGCUGUAAACUCUGCGAGCUAGGUGUUGCAUGUUCUCCGUGAAUAUGCAGUAUCGUAACGAAGGUGUUAAGCUCGCCGCCUGGGAAGUACGGUC
Molecule: ribosomal RNA, 516 nt
Filed under: uncultured archaeon
Lineage: Archaea
Description: bacterial SSU rRNA
Rfam family: Archaeal small subunit ribosomal RNA
Source: RNAcentral